This 487-nucleotide ribosomal RNA is filed under the name uncultured Pichia. Its description in RNAcentral is "eukaryotic LSU rRNA". It matches the Rfam family "Eukaryotic large subunit ribosomal RNA", at positions 62 to 560 of the family's 3401-position model. Lineage: Eukaryota; Fungi; Ascomycota; Saccharomycetes; Saccharomycetales; Saccharomycetaceae. The record is from RNAcentral.
AAACCAACAGGGAUUGCCUCAGUAGCGGCGAGUGAAGCGGCAAGAGCUCAGAUUUGAAAUCUCACCUAGUGUGCGAGUUGUAAAUUGCAGGUUGGAGUCUCGGGUUAGACGUGUGUGCAAGUCCCUUGGAACAGGGCGCCACUGAGGGUGAGAGCCCCGUAGCGUGCAUGUCGACACCUGUGAGGCCCUUCUGACGAGUCGAGUUGUUUGGGAAUGCAGCUCUAAGUGGGUGGUAAAUUCCAUCUAAGGCUAAAUAUUGGCGAGAGACCGAUAGCGAACAAGUACUGUGAAGAAAGGAUGAAAAGCACUUUGAAAAGAGAGUGAAACAGCACGUGAAAUUGUUGAAAGGGAAGGGUAUUGCGCCCGACAUGGGGAUUGCGCACCGCUGCCUCUCGUGGGCGGCGCUCUGGGCUUUCCCUGGGCCAGCAUCGGUUCUUGCUGCAGGAGAAGGGGUUCUGGAACGUGGCUCUUCGGAGUGUUAUAGCCA